Molecule: ribosomal RNA, 1082 nt
Filed under: Escherichia coli
Lineage: Bacteria; Pseudomonadati; Pseudomonadota; Gammaproteobacteria; Enterobacterales; Enterobacteriaceae
Description: partial 23S ribosomal RNA
Rfam family: Bacterial large subunit ribosomal RNA
Source: RNAcentral
GGGACACGUGGUAUCCUGUCUGAAUAUGGGGGGACCAUCCUCCAAGGCUAAAUACUCCUGACUGACCGAUAGUGAACCAGUACCGUGAGGGAAAGGCGAAAAGAACCCCGGCGAGGGGAGUGAAAAAGAACCUGAAACCGUGUACGUACAAGCAGUGGGAGCCUCUUUAUGGGGUGACUGCGUACCUUUUGUAUAAUGGGUCAGCGACUUAUAUUCUGUAGCAAGGUUAACCGAAUAGGGGAGCCGAAGGGAAACCGAGUCUUAACUGGGCGUUAAGUUGCAGGGUAUAGACCCGAAACCCGGUGAUCUAGCCAUGGGCAGGUUGAAGGUUGGGUAACACUAACUGGAGGACCGAACCGACUAAUGUUGAAAAAUUAGCGGAUGACUUGUGGCUGGGGGUGAAAGGCCAAUCAAACCGGGAGAUAGCUGGUUCUCCCCGAAAGCUAUUUAGGUAGCGCCUCGUGAAUUCAUCUCCGGGGGUAGAGCACUGUUUCGGCAAGGGGGUCAUCCCGACUUACCAACCCGAUGCAAACUGCGAAUACCGGAGAAUGUUAUCACGGGAGACACACGGCGGGUGCUAACGUCCGUCGUGAAGAGGGAAACAACCCAGACCGCCAGCUAAGGUCCCAAAGUCAUGGUUAAGUGGGAAACGAUGUGGGAAGGCCCAGACAGCCAGGAUGUUGGCUUAGAAGCAGCCAUCAUUUAAAGAAAGCGUAAUAGCUCACUGGUCGAGUCGGCCUGCGCGGAAGAUGUAACGGGGCUAAACCAUGCACCGAAGCUGCGGCAGCGACGCUUAUGCGUUGUUGGGUAGGGGAGCGUUCUGUAAGCCUGCGAAGGUGUGCUGUGAGGCAUGCUGGAGGUAUCAGAAGUGCGAAUGCUGACAUAAGUAACGAUAAAGCGGGUGAAAAGCCCGCUCGCCGGAAGACCAAGGGUUCCUGUCCAACGUUAAUCGGGGCAGGGUGAGUCGACCCCUAAGGCGAGGCCGAAAGGCGUAGUCGAUGGGAAACAGGUUAAUAUUCCUGUACUUGGUGUUACUGCGAAGGGGGGACGGAGAAGGCUAUGUUGGCCGGGCGACGGUUGUC